GAUCUAAUUAAAAAAAAAAAAAAAAAAAAAAAAAAAAUAUACAUAUGCAUAUGUACACAUUUAUUAAUAUAUAACUCGAAAUAUAGAAAUAUGUACAAUAUAUAUUACUGUACUUAACUUUUUUUUUUCCUAAAAAAAAAAUUAAACCGGGCAAGCAAUUGUCUUUUUUUUUACACAUGUUUUAUACUUUUGUUUUAAUUUGCUUUAUUUUGUUCUAUUUUAUGUUUUUUUUUUUUUUUUUUGCUAUUAAAAUUAGGAAAAUUUUAUAUAUAAAAUUAUAAUUUUUUUUUUUCUUACUUCUCUUGCUAUUCUUAACACAUUUAACUGUGCUGUGCUCAUGCAUUUUUAUUUGUUUUAAAAAAAUGUGCUUAAAAAAUAGUAUAUAAUUAAAGGAUUACAACAAAAAUAUUAAUUAUUUUCCAAAUAGACUGAUGAACAAGAUGGGCUUAAAUGGCAAUGUGGAUAUUACAAAUUUAAUAAACGAAAGGGAUAGCUGGAUGAAGAAGUAUGAGGUAAUGGAAUCAGAGUAUUUAAGCCUAAAAGACAAAUUAAAAAAUAUGACAGACAGUAGUAAUAAUAAGAACAAAGUAAAGGAGGAUUAUGAGACUAUAGUGAAAGAUAUGUUCUUGAGAUAUAAAUAUAUGGUAUGGAAGAAUGUACAACAACGUGGUUAUACAUGUUCAUAUAUACAUGUCCAUAUAUACAUAUACAUGUCCAUAUAUACAUAUACAUGUUCAUAUAUACAUAUACAUGUACAUGUCCAUAUAUACAUAUACAUGCCCCUAAACGCCUUAUGUGUUACCCUUUUAAUAUUCCGCAGAAAAAUCAGCACGAAUAUUUGAACUUACAAAAUAAAAUUAUAAAUCUGGAAAAAGAGAAAGAAGUA
This 886-nucleotide long non-coding RNA is filed under the name Piliocolobus tephrosceles (Ugandan red Colobus). RNAcentral describes it as "lncRNA (ENSPTEG00000023628.1)". The record is from RNAcentral. Lineage: Eukaryota; Metazoa; Chordata; Mammalia; Primates; Cercopithecidae.